CGCUGAACUUAAGCAUAUCAUUAAGCGGAGGAAAAGAAACUAACAAGGAUUCCCCCAGUAACGGCGAGUGAAGCGGGAAGAGCUCAAGCUUAAAAUCUCCAUGUGUAAGCAUGGCGAAUUGUAGUCUAUAGAGGCUGUUGUCAGCACAGCGAUCUGGGAAAAGUCCCUUGGAAAAGGGCAGCACAGAGGGUGAUACUCCCGUCUUUGCUCAGAUCGUCUUGUGUGUACGAUACGCUUUCUUUGAGUCGAGUUGUUUGGGAAUACAGCUCAAAGUAGGUGGUAAAUUCCAUCUAAAGCUAAAUAUUGGUGCGAGACCGAUAGCGAACAAGUACCGUGAGGGAAAGAUGAAAAGAACUUUGAAAAGAGAGUUAAAGAGUACCUGAAACUGUUGAAAGGGAACCGUAUCGUUUCCAGUGUUAUAUCCUGUGCAUAUUUCAUUAGCGGAGCAAUUUGCUGGUGCCCUGUGCAUGGGUGUGACGUCAGAGUCAGUUUGUAUGCUGCGGGAGAUGGUCAGUGAGGAGGUGCUUCACUUCGGUGAAAGUUAUAUCUUGCUGUCUAGUAGCCGUGGUUGAGACUGAGGUGCCUACAACAUGCCUUGGGGUUCGGGGCUGUCUUGUUUUGGAAACUGCUUGGAUAGCUUGCUAUGUCUGUGGUUUUUCAGAGCAAUUGAUGGUGUCGAUAACCCCUGCUGUUCGGGACUCUGGCGAAAUGGAGCGAUACGACCCGUCUUGAAACACGGACCAAGGAGUCUAACAUGUGUGCAAGUAUUAGGGCGUGGAAACCCAAAUGCGUAAUGAAAGUAAAUGCUGUGUAUGCAGCUUUGGUAGGAAGGGGCUGUAAUGGUCCUGGCACUAUCGACCGAUCAUGAGCCUACGGGCGAAAGAUUUGAGUAUGAGCAUAUAUGUUGGUACCCGAAAGAUGGUGAACUAUGCCUGAAUAGGGUGAAGCCAGGGGAAACUCUGGUGGAAGCUCGUAGCGAUUCUGACGUGCAAAUCGAUCGUCAAAUUUGGGUAUAGGGGCGAAAGACUAAUCGAACCAUCUAGUAGCUGGUUCCCUCCGAAAUUUCCCUCAGGAUAGCAGCAACUUUUUACGAUAGUUUUAUGAGGUAAAGCGAAUGAUUAGAGGCCUCGGGGAAGAAACUUCCUCGACCUAUUCUCAAACUUUAAAUGGGUAAGACCUGUGGGUUUCUUAAUUGAACCUGUGGACGUGAAUAUCCAAGUUGCUAGUGGGCCAUACCGGGUAAGCUGGUCUGGCG
Molecule: ribosomal RNA, 1255 nt
Filed under: Protoachlya paradoxa
Lineage: Eukaryota; Oomycota; Saprolegniomycetes; Saprolegniales; Saprolegniaceae
Description: eukaryotic LSU rRNA
Rfam family: Eukaryotic large subunit ribosomal RNA
Source: RNAcentral